Molecule: ribosomal RNA, 913 nt
Filed under: Coprinellus micaceus
Lineage: Eukaryota; Fungi; Basidiomycota; Agaricomycetes; Agaricales; Psathyrellaceae
Description: partial 25S ribosomal RNA
Rfam family: Eukaryotic large subunit ribosomal RNA
Source: RNAcentral
AAACUAACAAGGAUUCCCCUAGUAACUGCGAGUGAAGCGGGAAAAGCUCAAAUUUAAAAUCUGGCGGUCUUUGGCCGUCCGAGUUGUANUCUAGAGAAGUGUUACCCGCGUCGGACCGUGUACAAGUCUCCUGGAAUGGAGCGUCAUAGAGGGUGAGAAUCCCGUCUUUGACACGGACUACCGAGGCUUUGUGGUGCGCUCUCAAAGAGUCGAGUUGUUUGGGAAUGCAGCUCAAAAUGGGUGGUAAAUUCCAUCUAAAGCUAAAUAUUGGCGAGAGACCGAUAGCGAACAAGUACCGUGAGGGAAAGAUGAAAAGAACUUUGGAAAGAGAGUUAAACAGUACGUGAAAUUGCUGAAAGGGAAACGCUUGAAGUCAGUCGCGUCCUCCGGGAAUCAGCCUUCCUUCUGGUUGGUGUACUUCCUGGUGGACGGGCCAGCAUCAGUUUUGACCGGUGGAAAAAGUUGGAGGGAAUGUGGCACCUUCGGGUGUGUUAUAGCCCUCCUUCGUAUACAUCGAUUGGGACUGAGGAACUCAGCACGCCGCAAGGCCGGGAUUCGUCCACGUUCGUGCUUAGGAUGCUGGCAUAAUGGCUUUAAUCGACCCGUCUUGAAACACGGACCAAGGAGUCUAACAUGCCUGCGAGUGUUUGGGUGGGAAACCCGAGCGCGUAAUGAAAGUGAAAGUUGAGAUCCCUGUCAUGGGGAGCAUCGACGCCCGGACCAGACGUUUUCUGACGGUUCUGCGGUAGAGCAUGUAUGUUGGGACCCGAAAGAUGGUGAACUAUGCCUGAAUAGGGUGAAGCCAGAGGAAACUCUGGUGGAGGCUCGUAGCGAUUCUGACGUGCAAAUCGAUCGUCAAAUUUGGGUAUAGGGGCGAAAGACUAAUCGAACCNNNNNNNNNNNNNNNNNNNNN